UACUAUAACAUCACAGUUAAUAGACCUGCAGCCCGUCUGACUCGUUUUGAAGUGCUUCCUGUUUGCUGUUAAGUUUCACUUCGUGCUCGUCGUGUCGCACCUUCUGCUUCUCUCUAAGGAAUAAAUGAAGAGAAAGUUCCUCCCUCUGCCACCAGAGGGCGACACAUCCCCUCGUUUUGAAGUGCUUCCUGUUUGCUGUUAAGUUUCACUUCGUGCUCCUCGUGUCGCACCUUCUGCUUCUCUCUAAAGGUUUGUAACUCUUUGUGACUUUAGAGCUUUUAGAGACAACUCUUAUCAAUCAUUGCUCAGAGAAUAAGAACAACUCUUUGUGACUUUAGUUACUUCAGACUUUAGAGUAAAUUCAGAGACAGACUUUAACCCUCUUCCUGUUUUUACCUCAGCUGAACUUGUACACAAUAACUAUAAUUAUUAUUAUUAUUAUUAUCAAUCAUUACUCAGAUAAUAACUCCACACAGAGACCCUCUAUUUCAUCUGAUGACUUGCUGUCCAUACUACUGUGUGUGUGUGUGUGUG
Molecule: long non-coding RNA, 534 nt
Organism: Trematomus bernacchii (emerald rockcod)
Lineage: Eukaryota; Metazoa; Chordata; Actinopteri; Perciformes; Nototheniidae
Exons: 3
Source: RefSeq, a predicted model, not a curated record